RNAcentral lists this ribosomal RNA (253 nucleotides) under uncultured bacterium. RNAcentral describes it as "partial 16S ribosomal RNA". It matches the Rfam family "Bacterial small subunit ribosomal RNA", at positions 524 to 776 of the family's 1533-position model. The record is from RNAcentral.
UACAUAGGGUGCAAGCGUUGUCCGGAAUUAUUGGGCGUAAAGAGCUCGUAGGCGGUUUGUUGCGUCGGCUGUGAAAACCUGAGGCUCAACCUCAGGCCUGCAGUCGAUACGAGCAGACUAGAGUGUUGCAGGGGAGACUGGAAUUCCUGGUGUAGCGGUGAAAUGCGCAGAUAUCAGGAGGAACACCGGUGGCGAAGGCGGGUCUCUGGGCAACAACUGACGCUGAGGAGCGAAAGCGUGGGGAGCGAACAGG